UAACGAAUCUUCCGCAAUGCACGAAAGUGUGACGGAGCGACGCCGCGUGGAGGACGAAGUUCUUCGGAAUGUAAACUCCUGUCAGGGGAAAGAAAGUUCUGAUCUACCCCAGAGGAAGAGGCGGCUAACUCUGUGCCAGCAGCCGCGGUAAUACAGAGGCCUCGAGCGUUAGACGGAAUCACUGGGCUUAAAGCGUGUGUAGGCGGAAGGGUAAGUACCUUGUGAAAUCCCACGGCUCAACCGUGGAACUGCGUUGGAAACCCCAUGGCUGGAGUAGGACAGAGGUGAGCGGAACAGAUGGUGGAGCGGUGAAAUGCGUUGAUAUCAUCUGGAACACCGGUGGCGAAAGCGGCUCACUGGGUCCUAACUGACGCUGAUGCACGAAAGCCAGGGGAGCAAACGGGAUUAGAUACCCCCGUAGUCCCUGAGCGGGCUGGCAAGGCGCAU
This 447-nucleotide ribosomal RNA is filed under the name uncultured bacterium. RNAcentral describes it as "bacterial SSU rRNA". It matches the Rfam family "Bacterial small subunit ribosomal RNA", at positions 355 to 825 of the family's 1533-position model. The record is from RNAcentral.